UCCAGAAAUCAAAGCCUGAUGCAGAAGGAA
This 30-nucleotide non-coding RNA is filed under the name Homo sapiens (human). Lineage: Eukaryota; Metazoa; Chordata; Mammalia; Primates; Hominidae. The record is from RNAcentral.